AGCGAACGCUGGCGGCAGGCUUAACACAUGCAAGUCGAGCGGGCAUAGCAAUAUGUCAGCGGCAGACGGGUGAGUAACGCGUGGGAACGUACCUUUUGGUUCGGAACAACACAGGGAAACUUGUGCUAAUACCGGAUAAGCCCUUACGGGGAAAGAUUUAUCGCCGAAAGAUCGGCCCGCGUCUGAUUAGCUAGUUGGUGAGGUAAUGGCUCACCAAGGCGACGAUCAGUAGCUGGUCUGAGAGGAUGAUCAGCCACAUUGGGACUGAGACACGGCCCAAACUCCUACGGGAGGCAGCAGUGGGGAAUAUUGGACAAUGGGCGCAAGCCUGAUCCAGCCAUGCCGCGUGAGUGAUGAAGGCCCUAGGGUUGUAAAGCUCUUUUGUGCGGGAAGAUAAUGACGGUACCGCAAGAAUAAGCCCCGGCUAACUUCGUGCCAGCCGCCGCCGUAA
This 451-nucleotide ribosomal RNA is filed under the name uncultured bacterium. RNAcentral describes it as "partial 16S ribosomal RNA". It matches the Rfam family "Bacterial small subunit ribosomal RNA", at positions 29 to 523 of the family's 1533-position model. The record is from RNAcentral.